Molecule: ribosomal RNA, 458 nt
Filed under: Mogibacterium timidum
Lineage: Bacteria; Bacillati; Bacillota; Clostridia; Peptostreptococcales; Anaerovoracaceae
Description: bacterial SSU rRNA
Rfam family: Bacterial small subunit ribosomal RNA
Source: RNAcentral
GAUGAACGCGGCGGCGUGCCUAAUACAUGCAAGUCGAGCGAGAAGCUUGGAAAUGACGCUUCGGUUGAUUUUCCAAGCGGACAGCGGCGGACGGGUGAGUAACGCGUAGGCAACCUGCCCCUGACAGAGGGAUAGCCAUUGGAAACGAUGAUUAAAACCUCAUGACACCGUAGUAGCACAUGCUACAUCGGUCAAAGAUUUAUCGGUCAGGGAUGGGCCUGCGUCUGAUUAACUGGUUGGUGAGGUAACGGCUCACCAAGGUGACGAUCAGUAGCCGACCUGAGAGGGUGAUCGGCCACAUUGGAACUGAGACACGGUCCAAACUUCUACGGAAGGCAGCAGUAGGGAAUCUUGCACAAUGGGCGAAAGCCUGAUGCAGCAACGCCGCGUGAAGGAUGAAGGCCUUCGGGUUGUAAACUUCUGUUCUAAGGGAAGAAAGAAAUGACGGUACCUUAGGA